RNAcentral lists this small RNA (769 nucleotides) under Oryza sativa Japonica Group (Japanese rice). Its description in RNAcentral is "sRNA Os04g0350201". Lineage: Eukaryota; Viridiplantae; Streptophyta; Magnoliopsida; Poales; Poaceae. The record is from RNAcentral.
UGCAUGGGUUAACUUUUGUCGUUCUGAUCCAGCUAGAUCUACUAAGUUGAUCCGGCUUGUUCUUGUGCUGUUUGAGCCAUCCUCCAGAUUCUAUAGAACAAUCUUGAUGACACAUGUAAAAACGCAAUGUGAGCGUGAGCUGUCUGCAUUUGCGCUUGUUGCCCCGGUCCUCCGAUUUGAGAGGCCCUUCACCAACAGUUGCGUUACAUCCUUUGUAGUGAAAACUAACUCCUUUGUCAAUGAUUCAACAUAGACACAAGCAGUUCUAACAUCCUCUCUAAUCUGCAAUUCAACAGGUGAUGGGUCUAGCAAAUCAGUAAUCUGCUCAUUGUAAAUCUGCAAAUUACAACCAGGAAGAAUUACAUUUUCUAUAGAAAACAGAACAUGAAAAUAUGCCUUAGAUUACUUCUUUGAUACGAGAGAACAACUGCUCAAAGACACGGGGCGUCAGCCCCCUCUCGCUGCACGUUGAGUCUUCUGACAGUGCUGACAAAGGGCCCCACAUUGUGUAGGUUUUCCCACUGCCAGUCUUUCCAUAGGCAAAUAUUGAGCUGUUGAACCCAGAUAAGCAAUUUUCAACAAGUGGCAGCCCGACAAGCUUGAAGAUAUCCUCCUGCGUGGACACCUCGUCGGCGACCGCGUCGAACGUGAAGUCCUGCCCCUGGAUCGCGACCGAGUUGGUCGCCGUCUUGCGAACGCACAAGUCCGGCGCCCGCGCGUCCUCCUCCUCCUCCACCCGGCACGGCGGCCGUAUCCUCACCACCACCUG